GUCAGGCAAAGCGCUCAAAUGUAUGACGUUCGCGUCGCGUGUCUGGCAUCAAGGAAGAUGGACGCGUCGUCGCCACCCUAGAGGCGGCAUCCCCCGCGUGACGCCCUUUCAGGCACCGUCGUGACCGGAUUCCUUGUUUUGUCUUGCGUGUCGAUCACGCAGGUACGCGCGCCAGGCGCUGCCGAUCAGCUGUGCGCCGAGGUGUAGCGAUAGGACAGCAGCGAUUUCACCAGGAAGGUGAUCUGGGUGGCCGAGCGCGCAUCCACGCGCAUGACCGGGAUGCGGAAGCCUUCGGCAACCAAUGCAUCGCGGAAG
Molecule: antisense RNA, 315 nt
Rfam family: Xanthomonas sRNA asX4/Xoo4